This is a long non-coding RNA of Terrapene triunguis (Three-toed box turtle), 753 nucleotides long. RefSeq lists it as uncharacterized. The transcript has 3 exons. The record is from RefSeq and is a predicted model, not a curated record. NCBI's taxonomy places the organism in Eukaryota, Metazoa, Chordata, Testudines, Emydidae.
UAGAAGUGCCAAAAUAGAACCCAAACCUUGCAAUUCCCAGCUUUGUCUGAUGUAUUCCAGUGUUUGGCUGGCAGGCUAAGAAGCCCAUCACCAAAAUACUCUGUCAGGAGUAAGGCCCCGCAGCUGCACCUGCUCAGUCUCCUGAUGGCCUAGCAAGUCAACUAAGCUCCCUGAUGGACUGCUCUGCUUGAUUGGAAGGUUACAUGGAAGAGUAUGGGAUACUGCCAGUCAAACUUAGCUCUGUGUUAACUUUCUUGGACAGUGAAUUUCCCUUGUUUUUGCGGAAGUGGGAUGUGAUUGAGGACCAUCUGUCUGGGUGAGGGAUGAAGAACCAUCUAGGAAACACCUCAGUGUUACUCAACAACCAGCUCUGCCCUCUUGUCAGCCCCCUUUGGUCCUUUUAAAAUUCCAGCCCAAAUGUCAAAGGUCAAAUUUGAAAAAAAGAAAAGGGUGGUGGUACUCUUUAAAGCUCUGCUCAUGUGAAAUGCAAGAAUGAGAUGCUGCUUACAGUAAAUGGUGCAGAUACUCAAAAUAUGAUUGUGUGUGCUGCUUGGCUCCCCCUCAUUGGGGCAUCCAUAGGAUAAUGUGGUCUGGUUGGCUCCUUCUUGUUUGGCGGGGAAAAAUCUUGUUUAAGGCGGAAAAAAAAAAGUGGCAAAGUCUGCCAAACACCACCCAUUUCUGGCACCAAAAUGAGUAGUCACUUAGGCCAUGGGUGUGGUAGUUUUGGUUAUGCUCCAAUAGGUUCCCUGUUGC